Long non-coding RNA from Carassius gibelio (silver crucian carp), 1013 nucleotides. RefSeq lists it as uncharacterized. The transcript is spliced from 2 exons. Lineage: Eukaryota; Metazoa; Chordata; Actinopteri; Cypriniformes; Cyprinidae. The record is from RefSeq and is a predicted model, not a curated record.
UAAACCAUAAGCUUCCGGUGUAAUGUCAUCGCGAAAAAAGAGGCAUUGUUUACAAAGUGCCUCCACAGUAUUUAACAUUGUAUAGUAUAAGACCAAAGUUCCUGUAUUUUGAAAAAGAGUAAGGUAUUUAAAGCAGGAGUCCCAAGAAGAAUGGACACUGCGGAUGUUAGCAGGUUUCUCUGUAAGCCCUGAUGUCAUUUUCAGAGUCUUCUGCAGCAAAUUCACCCCAACGGCAGUCCGAAAGCUAAAGCAGGACUUGAAAGUGUUAGCUAGUAUUGGGCCACAGUCUUUCAGAGAUGGAAAAACUGAACAGACUAGACUCCGAAAAACUGCAUAACCAGCCAUACUCCUCUCUGGAAACACAGGUGCCCUGACAGCAGUACAGGAGCAUUUGCAGUGAGGGCGGCUGAGACUGGACUCAUGUCCUCUAGUGGUAACAUAGUAGCAUCACAGCUAUCAGCUGAACAGAAAAUGACACCUGCUUUACAGGAGCAGUCUGACAUGGACAUGAGGUUCCUGAUACCCUAUGAAUUUGAACAUUUUCCCUUGUUUUGUUUUUCUCACACAUUUGCUUUUUUUACUCUUAUUUACAAAGUCUAAACUAAAAAGCAUAAAUUUAAAAAAGACUAAAUCAGUGGGACAAAUCAAUUUAUUUCUCAAACAAACAGUUCUGUUCCAAAUAUACAGAGCAAAAAUAAAAGAUACAAAGUCAGAAUUGCUGUAUACUUUAUGUACAGAGCUUCACAACUAAUAUGUACAUUGAUUAUGCACAGCAAGAAAAAAAAGUGUAACAUCUCUUAUAAAUAAAAUCAGUCACAAUGGAAAUCAUUUAGAUUUAUAUUUCAUUUGUACUGCAUCUGUUAUUAUUAUUAUUAUUAUUACCCCAAGCAUGGAAAGCAAUUCAAUUUAGUACAUUAAGUAAUUUAAGGGGCAUAAUUGCUCUUAUUUUGUUGUAUAGGAUGUUCACACAUAUAAUUUGUCAACUGAUAUAAUAAUACAUUUGUCAAAGCUCA